This 238-nucleotide long non-coding RNA is filed under the name Elaeis guineensis (African oil palm). RNAcentral describes it as "long non-coding RNA (EGUI_LNC073370)". The record is from RNAcentral. Lineage: Eukaryota; Viridiplantae; Streptophyta; Magnoliopsida; Arecales; Arecaceae.
GUCAGUCAUAUGCUAGAUUGGCUUGACUCGAGUUCAUCUAUGAAUCUUAUGAAAACUCUUUUUCAGUAUUCACACUUACUAUGAUCAGAGAUUUUCUGAACUCAGUCUUACAAAUUACAUAGAGUUUCUCCUUUUCUAUCAAGAUCGAUAGAUUUCAUCUAGGUACAUCCUACUCCAAACAGCAAAUCGAAACCUAUAAUAGCCAACAUAAGCAAGGAUCCGAAUGGCUAGGGACCAA